UCAAUUUAAUUUGAAUGAAUAAAUUUAUUAUUUAUUAAAAUGUUGUUUUUAUUAUUAAUUAAAAUAAUAUGUUUUUUAUUAUAUGAAUAGAAAAAAUGAUUUUUUAUUAUAGUUAAUUAGUAUUGUGAAAGAACGUUGUUAUAUGUAUAAAAGAAGAAUUCAUUUUUCGUACCUUGUGUAUCAGGGUUGAUUAAAUAAAAAUUUAGUAUUAAAUAUUCUCGAAUUUAAAAGAGCUAAUUUACUAUAUUUAUUAUUGUGGAAUAACUAUUAUACAUAGUAAAUUUGAAAUGAAACGUUAUUCGUUUUUGAAUAUAUCUAGUUUUUUAAGAAAAAAAUUGAAUUUGUUAAUUAAAUAUUAUAAAUUUAUCUUUUUAAAUUUAUUUUAUUAAUUGGUUAUACUUUAAGGGAUAAGCUUUAAAGUAAAUUUUUAUAAAUUAAUUAAUUAUUUAUAUUAAAUGUAGGAUUAGAAUUUUUUAUCAUUAAAAAAAUGUUAUAAUUUAUUAUAUGCUUAAUAUUAUUUGUAUUAAUUUUAAUUUUUAUAUUAAAAUAUACUUUUAAAUAGGAAAUAAGUAGAAAUUAUGAUUAAAUUAGUAUAAUUAUAUUUACAAUUAAAUUGAUUUAUUAAGGUUUUUAAAAGGAACUCGGCAAAUUAUUUUUUUACCUGUUUAUUAAAAACAUGUCCUUUUGAUAUUUAUAUAAGGUCUGGCCUGCCCAAUGAAUUAUUUUAAAUGGCCGCGGUAUUUUGACCGUGCAAAGGUAGCAUAAUCAUUAGUUUUUUAAUUGAAAGCUGGAAUGAAAGGUCGGAUAAGAAAAAUACUGUCUCUUAAAAAUUUUAUUAGAACUUUAUCUUUAAGUAAAAAAGCUUAAAUGUUAUUUAAAGACGAGAAGACCCUUUAGAGUUUUAUAUAAUGUUUUAUAUCAUUUUCUUUAGUAUUAAUAUAAUUUGAUAUUUAAUUUAUAUUUGGUUGGGGUGAUUGAAAAAUUUAAUAAACUUUUUUUAUUAUAUUACAUUAAUUUAUGAUUAAAUGAUCCAUAUAGUUAUGAUUAUAAGAUUAAAUUACCUAAGGGAUAACAGCGUUAUUUUUUUCAAGAGUUCAAAUCGAAAAAAAAGAUUGCGACCUCGAUGUUGGAUUAAAAUUAAAUUAUGGUGCAGGAGCUAUAACUUUGGGUCUGUUCGACCUUUAAAAUUUUACAUGAUCUGAGUUUAAACCGGCGUGAGCCAGGUUGGUUUCUAUCUUAAAUAAGCUUUAAUAUUUUAGUACGAAAGGACCAGAUAUUAAAUUAAUAAUUUUUAAUUUGAAUAUGAUUAAUUAUUUUGGCAGAUUAGUGCAAUAGAUUUAGAAUCUAUUUAUGUAAUUUUUAUUACAAAUAA
RNAcentral lists this ribosomal RNA (1372 nucleotides) under Cucujoidea sp. 16 KM-2017. Its description in RNAcentral is "16S ribosomal RNA". The stretch from base 1068 to 1226 matches the Rfam family "Archaeal large subunit ribosomal RNA", at positions 2544 to 2703 of the family's 2987-position model. The record is from RNAcentral. Lineage: Eukaryota; Metazoa; Arthropoda; Insecta; Coleoptera.